UGGCUUUAAGUUUUUAAGGGCACACGGUGGAUGCCUUGGCACCAGGAACCGAAGAAGGACGUAGGAAUCUGCGAUAAGCCUCGGGGAGUCGAUAACCAGAUCAUUGAUCCGAGGAUUUCCGAAUGGGGAAACCCGGCUGGAUUCAUCUCCAGUCACCCUCGCCUGAACACAUAGGGCGAGUGGAGGGAACGUGGGGAAGUGAAACAUCUCAGUACCCACAGGAAGAGAAAGCAACCGCGAUUCCGUGAGUAGUGGCGAGCGAAAGCGGAAGAGGCCAAACCGAUCAUGUGUGAUAGCUGGUAGGCGUUGCAUGGUCGGGGUUGUGGGACCUUUUUACUGUCUCUACCAAGACAGUGCGGAGUAAAAAAUUCGUGUCAUAGACGAAGGGCUUGGAAGGGCCCGGCACAGAGGGUGAGACCCCCGUAGUCGAAAUGUCAUGAACUCCGUGGAAGUGCUCCCAAGUAGUACGGGGCCCGAGAAAUCCCGUACGAAUCUGGCAGGACCACCUGCUAAGCCUAAAUAUUCCCUGGUGACCGAUAGCGGACAAGUACCGUGAGGGAAAGGUGAAAAGUACCCCGGGAGGGGAGUGAAAUAGAUCCUGAAACCGUGUGCCUACAAUCCGUCGGAGCCUCCUUGUGGGGUGACGGCGUGCCUUUUGAAGAAUGAGCCUGCGAGUUAGUGCUCAGUGGCGAGGUUAACCCGUGUGGGGAAGCCGUAGCGAAAGCGAGUCCGAACAGGGCGAUUGAGUCGCUGGGUCUAGACCCGAAGCGGAGUGAUCUACCCAUGGCCAGGUUGAAGCGCGGGUAAGACCGCGUGGAGGACCGAACCCACUUAGGUUGAAAACUGAGGGGAUGAGCUGUGGGUAGGGGUGAAAGGCCAAUCAAACUCCGUGAUAGCUGGUUCUCCCCGAAAUGCAUUUAGGUGCAGCGUCAUGUGUUUCUUACCGGAGGUAGAGCUACUGGAUGGCUAAUGGGCCUUACCAGGUUACUGACGUCAGCCAAACUCCGAAUGCCGGUAAGUAAGAGCAUGGCAGUGAGACUGCGGGCGAUAAGGUUCGUAGUCGAGAGGGAAACAGCCCAGAUCACCAGCUAAGGUCCCUAAGCGUGUGCUAAGUGGGAAAGGAUGUGGAGUUGCUGUGACAACCAGGAGGUUGGCUUAGAAGCAGCCACCCUUUAAAGAGUGCGUAAUAGCUCACUGGUCAAGUGAUUCCGCGCCGACAAUGUAGCGGGGCUCAAGCACACCACCGAAGCUGUGGCAUUGACGCAUUUGCCUGGCCAGAUCCUUGAGGUCUGGUCCAAGCGUGUCGAUGGGUAGGGGAGCGUCGUGUGGCGAGAGAAGCGGCGGAGUGAUCCAGUCGUGGAUGCCACACGAGUGAGAAUGCAGGCAUGAGUAGCGAAUGACGGGUGAGAAACCCGUCCGCCGAAUAACCAAGGGUUCCAGGGUCAAGUUAAUCUGCCCUGGGUUAGUCGGGACCUAAGGCGAGGCCGACAGGCGUAGUCGAUGGACAACCGGUUGAUAUUCCGGCUUACCGGCGAAGAACCGACCAAUACCGAAUCAUCUGAUGCUAAGCGCCUGAAGCGUGUUGAUCUCUUCGGAGUGAUACUCGUGGAACGCGCGACCCGAGGUUGUAGUAGGUAAGCGAUGGAAGGACGCAGGAAGGUAGCCUCCGCGUGGCGAUGGUAGUCCACGUCUAAGAGUGCAAGGCGGGGUGUAGGCAAAUCCGCACCCCAUGUGCCCCAGGCUUGAUAGUGACCGCGUAUGUGGGAAGAGGGUGAUCCUAUGCUGCCUAGAAAAGUUCCUAGCGAGGUUCGAGCCGCCCGUACCCUAAACCGACUCAGGUGGUUAGGUAGAGAAUACCAAGGCGAUCGAGUGAAUCGUGGUUAAGGAAUUCGGCAAAAUACCCCCGUAACUUCGGGAGAAGGGGGGCCCAGAGGGUGACGGCACUUGCUGCCCGAGCCCGAACGGCCGCAGAGACCAGGGAGAAGCGACUGUUUACUAAAAACACAGGUCCGUGCGAAGUUGCAAAACGAUGUAUACGGACUGACGCCUGCCCGGUGCUGGAACGUUAAGGGGACGGGUUAGCCUUACGGCGAAGCUCUGAACUUAAGCGCCAGUAAACGGCGGUGGUAACUAUAACCAUCCUAAGGUAGCGAAAUUCCUUGUCGGGUAAGUUCCGACCUGCACGAAUGGCGUAACGACUUCUCCACUGUCUCAACCACGAACUCGGCGAAAUUGCACUACGAGUAAAGAUGCUCGUUACGCGCAGCAGGACGGAAAGACCCCGGGACCUUUACUAUAGCUUGGUAUUGGUGUUCGGUACGGCUUGUGUAGGAUAGGUGGGAGACUAUGAAGCCGGCACGCCAGUGUCGGUGGAGUCAACGUUGAAAUACCACUCUGGUCGUUCUGGAUAUCUAACCUCGGUCCGUGAUCCGGAUCAGGGACAGUGCCUGGUGGGUAGUUUAACUGGGGCGGUUGCCUCCCAAAGAGUAACGGAGGCGCCCAAAGGUUCCCUCAGCCUGGUUGGCAAUCAGGUUUCGAGUGUAAGUGCACAAGGGAGCUUGACUGUGAGACAGACAUGUCGAGCAGAGACGAAAGUCGGGACUAGUGACCCGACGGUGGCUUGUGGAAGCGCCGUCGCUCAACGGAUAAAAGGUACCCCGGGGAUAACAGGCUGAUCCUGCCCAAGAGCUCAUAUCGACGGCAUGGUUUGGCACCUCGAUGUCGGCUCGUCGCAUCCUGGGGCUGGAGUCGGUCCCAAGGGUUGGGCUGUUCGCCCAUUAAAGCGGUACGCGAGCUGGGUUUAGAACGUCGUGAGACAGUUCGGUCCCUAUCCGCUGCGCGCGUUGGAAACUUGAGAAGAGCUGACCCUAGUACGAGAGGACCGGGUUGGACGAACCUCUGGUGUGUCAGUUGUCCUGCCAAGGGCACCGCUGAUUAGCUACGUUCGGACGUGAUAACCGCUGAAAGCAUCUAAGCGGGAAGCACACUUCAAGAUGAGGUUUCCAUGGGGCUCGACCCCGAGAGGCUCCCAGCUAGAACACUGGGUUGAUAGGCCGGAUGUGGAAGUGCAGUAAUGCACGGAGCUGACCGGUACUAAUAAGCCGAUGACUUAAACA
This 3116-nucleotide ribosomal RNA is filed under the name Ornithinicoccus hortensis. RNAcentral describes it as "23S ribosomal RNA". It matches the Rfam family "Bacterial large subunit ribosomal RNA". Lineage: Bacteria; Bacillati; Actinomycetota; Actinomycetes; Micrococcales; Intrasporangiaceae. The record is from RNAcentral.